CGAAACUGGGCCAUUCUCUUCACUGCCAGGAACAAUCAAGGUAAUGGAUCGAAGAAGGAAGUUCAAUUUAUCAAGGAUCAAGUUUUGGAGUAGCAGACGCCACGCCACGCCACCUUCGGUUAGAGAAUAAUGAAUAAGAUUGCAUGCAAAAAUACAAAAGUGGAUGCGUGGUGAGUAACAAAAGCUACAUUCCUGCAUCACCUUCUUCACAGUCAGCUGUGGCCGGAGUCUGUGUGCCAUAUUCUAAAGUUUUGAUCUUUUUUGCGUGUUCACUGCUUUGGUUAGUGCUAAACCUUUUACUUUGUCAAGGGAAACAGAGGCAUCGCCUUUUCUAGGUUGUGUUCGGUUUCUGUUAUUGAUUACGAAUUUACGUCAAUAACAAUUAGUCUCAAAGUUUAUUGGUUUUCUAGAAUGUUUUAAUGUAAUAUUUAUUGUCUAAGACUUGAAGUUUAAUUUGAUUAUCG
RNAcentral lists this small RNA (464 nucleotides) under Malus domestica (apple). RNAcentral's name for it is "sRNA MD15G0228000". Lineage: Eukaryota; Viridiplantae; Streptophyta; Magnoliopsida; Rosales; Rosaceae. The record is from RNAcentral.